RNAcentral lists this transfer RNA (71 nucleotides) under Loxodonta africana (African savanna elephant). It matches the Rfam family "tRNA". Rfam says of the family: Transfer RNA (tRNA) molecules are approximately 80 nucleotides in length. Their secondary structure includes four short double-helical elements and three loops (D, anti-codon, and T loops). The record is from Rfam by way of RNAcentral. Lineage: Eukaryota; Metazoa; Chordata; Mammalia; Proboscidea; Elephantidae.
GCAAUGGUGGUUCAGUAGUAGAAUUCUCAUUCUCCAUGCAGGAGACCUGGGUUCAAUUCCCAGCCAAUGCC